AGCCCGGGGAUCCGCCCACCCGCUGAAUUUAAGCAUAUCGCUAAGCGGAGGAAAAGAAACCAACCGGGAUUCCCUUAGUAACGGCGAGUGAACUGGGAGGAGCCCAACGCUGAAUCUCGUCGUCCGCAAGCAGGUCGUCGAGAGCUGUGGCGCAAGGGUCGUACACGGUCGUUCGUUUCGCCCGGCUAGGUUCGGAGUCCCCUCGAUCGGGGCUGCCCAAAGCGGGUGCCAGGCCCAUUCGGAGCCGGCGGCGAUCGACAGUGUCUCUUUCUUCGGCCCGAGAGUCGGGUUGCUUGGGAACGCAGCCCAAAGCGGGUGGUAAGCUCCAUCCAAGGCUAAAUACCGGGACGAGUCGAUAGCCGACAGUACCGAGGAAU
This 377-nucleotide ribosomal RNA is filed under the name Eledone cirrhosa (curled octopus). Its description in RNAcentral is "eukaryotic LSU rRNA". It matches the Rfam family "Eukaryotic large subunit ribosomal RNA", at positions 1 to 361 of the family's 3401-position model. Lineage: Eukaryota; Metazoa; Mollusca; Cephalopoda; Octopoda; Eledonidae. The record is from RNAcentral.